Molecule: ribosomal RNA, 253 nt
Filed under: uncultured bacterium
Lineage: Bacteria
Description: partial 16S ribosomal RNA
Rfam family: Bacterial small subunit ribosomal RNA
Source: RNAcentral
UACAGAGGGUGCAAGCGUUGUUCGGAAUUAUUGGGCGUAAAGGGAGUGUAGGCGGUUUUUUAAGUCUUCUGUGAAAUCUACGGGCUUAGCCUGUAACGUGCAGAGGAAACUGGAAGGCUUGAGUGUCGGAGAGGAUAGGGGAAUUCCCGGUGUAGAGGUGAAAUUCGUAGAGAUCGGGAGGAACACCAGUGGCGAAGGCGCCUAUCUGGCUGACAACUGACGCUGAGACUCGAAAGCGUGGGGAGCGAACAGG